GACGUAGGGCGCGAGCGUUGUCCGGAUUUAUUGGGCGUAAAGAGCUCGUAGGCGGUCUGUCGCGUCUGCUGUGAAAACUCGGGGCUUAACCCCGGGCCUGCAGUGGGUACGGGCAGACUAGAGUGCGGUAGGGGAGACUGGAAUUCCUGGUGUAGCGGUGAAAUGCGCAGAUAUCAGGAGGAACACCGGUGGCGAAGGCGGGUCUCUGGGCCGUAACUGACGCUGAGGAGCGAAAGCAUGGGGAGCGAACAGG
RNAcentral lists this ribosomal RNA (253 nucleotides) under uncultured bacterium. Its description in RNAcentral is "partial 16S ribosomal RNA". It matches the Rfam family "Bacterial small subunit ribosomal RNA", at positions 524 to 776 of the family's 1533-position model. The record is from RNAcentral.